This 253-nucleotide ribosomal RNA is filed under the name uncultured bacterium. RNAcentral's name for it is "partial 16S ribosomal RNA". It matches the Rfam family "Bacterial small subunit ribosomal RNA", at positions 524 to 776 of the family's 1533-position model. The record is from RNAcentral.
UACGGGGGGGGCAAGCGUUGUUCGGAAUUACUGGGCUUAAAGGGUGCGUAGGCGGCGCAGAAAGUAGGGUGUGAAAUCCCUCGGCUCAACCGAGGAACUGCGCCCUAAACUACUGUGCUCGAGGGAGGUAGAGGUGAGCGGAACUUAGGGUGGAGCGGUGAAAUGCGUUGAUAUCCUAAGGAACACCGGUGGCGAAAGCGGCUCACUGGACCUCUUCUGACGCUGAGGCACGAAAGCUAGGGUAGCGAACGGG